GUCGGGGAGGGGGGAAUUCCUGGACAGUUAGCGACGCUUGUACAGUCGCAUUCCCCCAUGAUGGUCUUUUUGUGUGAAACCAGACAGAAGGAAGAGAGGAUGAGGAGAUUGAGAGGCCGUUUGGGACUAAAAGGCUUCGAAGGUGUGGAUAGUAAUGGACUUAGUGGAGGUCUUGCCUUGUUUUGGCAUGAGAGUUGGGUGGUUCAUGUUCAGGACAAAGAUGAUCGAUUCAUAGACGCUACUGUUCAUGUGCAUGCAGAUGCUGAACAAUGGAGAGUUACUUUUGUUUAUGGCGAGCCGCGGGUGGAGAAUCGGCAUCUCGUGUGGCAGAAGCUGCAGUCCUUAUACUCAUCAUCGGAUCUACCUUGGUUGGUGAUCGGUGAUUUUAAUGAAUGCCUCUGGGAUUUCGAGCAUAUGUCAGCCACACCCAGACCGGUGCCUCAAAUGUUUGCUUUCCGAGAUACACUUGAAGUAUGUCAGCUAGUGGAUAUUGGCUUCUCGGGGGUGCCUUUCACAUAUGACGACAAGAGGAGUGGUACAGCGAAUGUACGAGUCCGUCUGGAUCGAGCACUGGCUUCAAUGCAUGGCGUAAUAUAUUUGCUUUUUCCUCACUAA
This 615-nucleotide ribosomal RNA is filed under the name Triticum aestivum (bread wheat). RNAcentral describes it as "partial small subunit ribosomal RNA". Lineage: Eukaryota; Viridiplantae; Streptophyta; Magnoliopsida; Poales; Poaceae. The record is from RNAcentral.